RNAcentral lists this long non-coding RNA (1892 nucleotides) under Salmo salar (Atlantic salmon). Its description in RNAcentral is "lncRNA (ENSSSAG00000093933.1)". The record is from RNAcentral. Lineage: Eukaryota; Metazoa; Chordata; Actinopteri; Salmoniformes; Salmonidae.
CACACACACACUCACACACACUCACACACACUCACACUCUCACAGUCUCUCUCUCUCACUCUCACAGUCUCUCUCUCUCACACACACACACUCACACACUCUCACUCUCACAGUCUCUCUUACACACACACACACACACACACACACACACACACACACACACACACACACACACACACACACUGGUUGCAUUGAUUUCAUCAUCAGAUUGUUUACCAUAACAUGGUAUUCAUUUAGAUUGAUAUUGAUCUAACUACCUUUUUACCAUGUCAUUUCUGGUGUGUUGUGGACUGUGAAAUACAGGUAUUUUUUAAUCACGUUGGUACUAUUUUCACAAGUACGUGGUGAAUUUUCAAAACUCCAAACUGGUAUCACUUGUAACGCAGCUAGUCUUACAUUCAAAACCUUUCAUUGUGCAUUAAUUUUGUUUGUUUGUAGACAUCAGUUCACCACACAACCAUUCCAUCCAAAAUAUACAUGUACUGUGAAAUAUAAUACCUUGGUUUAAUCACCAAAACACAACAUGAUGACAUCUUCUCAAUUUAGCUAUUUCAAAUCAGUUAAUCCAUAGUGCAGAAAUAUUUGGUAUUACGUUACUGCAUUGGUCAAUGCAGUUUUAGUACUGCAGGUUAGGGUUAGGUUAGGGUUAGUGGCAGGUUAGGGUUAGGUUAGGGUUCGGUUAGGGUUAGUAGCAGGUUAGGGUUAGGUUAGGGUUAGGUUAGGGUUAGGUUAGGGUUAGUGGCAGGUUAGGGUUAGGUUAGGGUUAGUAGCAGGUUAGGGUUAGGGUUAGGUUAGGGUUAGUGGCAGGUUAGGGUUCGGUUAGGGUAGGUUAGGUUAGGGUUAGGUUAGGGUUAGUAGUAGGUUAGGGUUAGGUUAGGGUUAGUAGCAGGUUAGGGUUAGGUUAGGGUUAGUAGCAGGUUAGGGUUAGGUUAGGGUUAGGUUAGGGUUAGGUUAGGGUUAGUGGCAGGUUAGGGUUAGGUUAGGGUUCGGUUAGGGUUAGUGGUAGGUUAGGGUUCGGUUAGGGUUAGUAGCAGGUUAGGGUUAGGUUAGGGUUAGUAGCAGGUUAGGGUUAGGUUAGGGUUAGGUUAGGGUUAUUAGCAGGUUAGGGUUCGGUUAGGGUUAGUGGCAGGUUAGGGUUAGGUUAGGGUUCGGUUAGGGUUAGUGGUAGGUUAGGGUUCGGUUAGGGUUAGUAGCAGGUUAGGGUUAGGUUAGGGUUAGUAGCAGGUUAGGGUUAGGUUAGGGUUAGGUUAGGGUUCGGUUAGGGUUAUUAGCAGGUUAGGGUUCGGUUAGGGUUAGUGGCAGGUUAGGGUUAGGUUAGGGUUCGGUUAGGGUUAGUGGUAGGUUAGGGUUCGGUUAGGGUUAGUAGCAGGUUAGGGUUAGGUUAGGGUUAGUAGCAGGUUAGGGUUAGGUUAGGGUUAGUAGCAGGUUAGGGUUCGGUUAGGGUUAGUAGCAGGUUAGGGUUAGUUUAGGGUUAGUAGCAGGUUAGGGUUCGGUUAGGGUUAGUAGCAGGUUAGGGUUAGGUUAGGGUUAGUAGCAGGUUAGGUUAGGGUUAGGUUAGGGUUAGUUUAGGGUUAGGUUAGGGUUAGUAGCAGGUUAGGGUUAGUAGCAGGUUAGGUUAGGGUUAGUUUAGGGUUAGGUUAGGGUUAGUAGCAGGUUAGGGUUCGGUUAGGGUUAGUAGCAGGUUAGGGUUAGGUUAGGGUUAGUUUAGGGUUAGGUUAGGGUUAGGUUAGGGUUAGUAGCAGGUUAGUGUUAGGUUAGGGUUAGUAGCAGGUUAGGGUUAGGUUAGGGUUAGUUUAGGGUUAGGUUAGGGUUAGGUUAGGGUUAGCAGCUAGUUAGUUGAAAUGUUACUGAGAGUCUGUAGAGCGUCUACAUGGGUGGACUAUCCAAAUAAA